RNAcentral lists this ribosomal RNA (300 nucleotides) under uncultured Methanimicrococcus sp. Its description in RNAcentral is "bacterial SSU rRNA". It matches the Rfam family "Bacterial small subunit ribosomal RNA", at positions 496 to 795 of the family's 1533-position model. Lineage: Archaea; Methanobacteriati; Methanobacteriota; Methanomicrobia; Methanosarcinales; Methanosarcinaceae. The record is from RNAcentral.
GCUGCAUGUGUGCAGGCGGAGGCGGUAGUAUGGAUGGUGUAGGCGUGAAGGGGAGUUGCUGGGCGUAAAGAGUGCGUAUGCGUUUCGUUAUGUUUGUUGUGUGUGCCCGGGGCGUAACCUGGGAACUGCAGUCGAUACUGGUGAACUAGAGGGCGGUAGAGGGUGGCGGAACUCCGGGUGUAGCGGUGAAAUGCGUAGAUAUCCGGAAGAACACCGAUGGCGAAGGCAACCACCUGGGCCUGCACUGACGCUGAGGUACGAAAGCGUGGGGAGCAAACAGGAUUAGAUACCCCUGUAGUC